This is a long non-coding RNA of Carassius gibelio (silver crucian carp), 477 nucleotides long. RefSeq lists it as uncharacterized. Lineage: Eukaryota; Metazoa; Chordata; Actinopteri; Cypriniformes; Cyprinidae. The transcript is spliced from 3 exons. The record is from RefSeq and is a predicted model, not a curated record.
GGAGGCUUCAAGGAGAACAUAUCCUUAGCUUGCUCAUUCCUUCACAGAGCCACUGUUAUUUCUGGAGGCUGCUGCAGCAGGUGUCUCUACUUUGCAAGGGUGUAAAAUUGAGUGGAGGACGAGACUACGGGCGUCUGACCCGAGCCCGCAGACAUCCACCCUGCAGGAGAAACAGAUGAAGCCGGCCUAAUGUCUGAUCGGGCAAGGCCAACCUUUUCAGGUUAAACUGGAUUCAAGUUCAAGCACCCAGAGCGCUGCAGGCAAAGUUGAGUGCUUGGAAAGAAGAUAAAAAUAUGACUAAUGAAGACUUCAUCACUUAUGAGGCUUUCAUAACAAAUCCAGGGAUCAAACGCUUGAUUUAACAUCGCCACCUAACAAGAAAACCUUAUUCACUGCCACGUUAUAACAAAGUGUUAAUAUCUGAAAUUAAUGUUGCGAUUUAAGUGUGUUUGUGUUACAAAAUUUGCAAUUUAUGCG